CUCUGGUAACUCCUCAUUUCCUUAUUAUAAAGCGACUUCCCAGAAACCACAAGAUUUCUUCAUUCAGCCUCGGUUUCCCCAUCUGUACUCAUUAGGAAGAGUACACCUACCAGGACUCGAGACACCAUACAGAGCAGAAUAAAAAUGGCCAAGGAAGUGGAGACAGAGCAAAGAAGAGGAAGGCAGACUGACAGACUAUUUCAGAACUGAUUAAAAUAAACAAAACCAAAGAUACCCGUGGAAGGAAGUGGAGUGUUGCCGUUAAAAGAGCAAGCAAAACAAAUGUUGCUCUCAACUGCUGUAUGUGGCGACUGAUCUCCCAUAAUCCAGAGUGAGAUAGCUAUAUGUCCGGAGAAUAAGAGCUAAGGGAACUCACAGUCCCCUGCCUCUCUAAAGAUACUUGGGGGUUCAACCUCGGGAAGAAUGGAGAACACCCAGGAGGGUGGUGUGGUGACCAGCAGGAAGUGGGGUAGUCUAAGCCAGCCCUGGACAGAGAACGACAAUCAAACUGUCGAAUUUAAUCUACAACCAACAAUACGAGACACUGUGCACUGCUGCGGUGGGUCAUCUUGCUGGGGAUGGUAAGCUGACAGCUCCAUGUCUGUCUUGUUCAUGAGAAGACAUCGUGUCUGUGGAGUUUUAGAUUUGCUAUCCUAAUUGGAGACGUCAAGCAAAUUAGAGAAAGCUAAACAUGAUACAGAAAGCAGAAAGACAAAAACAAGAUUCCAAAGAAGAAUGUAGGGUUAAAAUGCAAGUAAUUUCAGUGUAUAAAUUUACAGGAUAGAAGAUUUCCAGAUGGGAAACCAAAUCAAAUUAUAUGUCCUUUGCAUGAGAUUUGCCUAAAGCCUAGUAUGCAGAGAUGCUCAGGUAAUUAAUUGAAAAAUGGAUACCAGGCAAAGAACAACCACAGGAUAUUGGGCACAGCAAUAUUAAUACCAGAGAAAAAAGCCAAAAGGCAAAACCACAAUCACAGAUGAAGAGGGCCAUUAUGUCUUGAUUUAAGUUUAAAUUUCCCAGGAGGUUAUAAAAAGUCCAAAUAUUUAUGGAUGUAAUAAAAUAGCCAAAGAACAUUUUAAAAAGUGACAGAAUAUAUGGAGAUAUAGGCAAAUCAAUUAAUAGAUUGGAUCUAUUCAUAUAACUUGGUCAGAGAUUGAUAAAUCAGAUAAGGAAUAUUUAAUACAGAGGGAAAUAUUUGAGCCAUACAAUUAACAAGUCAGCCUUCACCGGCAUUCAAGGAAAAGGCAAUAAUUUCAGAAUCAUUAUUUUUAUUGCCACAAAGACAAUUUACAUAAAUAUCAUGCUGGUGUCACAAAGUAAGUGUAAGAGAUUUUUAAAGAAUUAGACGAGAAUGGGUCACAUUCUCUGAUUAUAAAGUGCUUGUUAUACAUCAAUAAGAGGAAGACGAAAAGUGUUAGCACUAUGCACCCUUAAAAAGGAUUGCAUUCCAAAAGUUUUCAAGCUUUUGACUCAGAUGUCAAUCAGGAGACCUCUUGUCACUUGUGGACAAGCCUGAUUCCCUGAACUCAACCCUGGGAAUCCACGUAGAGGUGGAAAGAGAGAACUAGCUCUACCAAGUUCUCCUCUGCGUGCACUCGUCCCCUGCCCAUAAUAAUAAAUAAAAAAUUUAAAAAUGUAAAGGAAAACAAAUUAAACAAUAAUGAAAAUGGCAUCUAUCAAGAUACACAAGAGCGUGUGCACAUGGGGCGUCACAUGGAGAGGGCUAGGAAGCCAGCAAGAUCCAGGAGCUAGGGCACUCGUCUACAAUGGCUCACUUUCAAGAGCGCUAACCAGUACCUUCUGAGGGCAUCCCUCUAAUGACCUACCUACCUUCUGUGAGACUCCAUCCUCCAAAGGAUCUACCAUGUAACAGUGUGGGCACACUGGAAGCCAAUCCUGCCCUCCUAGGAUAAGCCUCCAGCAUAGUAUAAACAAAUGAACACAGGAUAUAAGGAAAGAGUAGAGCCCUAAGAGGGGCAGUUGGAGAGACAGAGCAGCUGUGUAUGCCUGUGCCCUCAUUUCAUCCAUUGCUGCAGGGCAGUCACAGAGGUAGGGGCCUGAGACAGACGGUCGCACCACAUCCACAGUCAAGAGCAGAAAGAAAAUAAUGAACCAUGCUGUCUGCUUGUUUUUUCCACUGACCUUCUUUGUCUUUCACCAUUCAGGGCCCUGCCUAGGGGAUGAUGCCUCCCACAGUGGGCGGGGUCAGUUAACAAUGAGGAUAAUCCGCCAUAGACAGGCCAGCCUGAUUCAGAUAAUUCUUUCAUUGAGACUCACACUGAAAAGCACUGCUCUGUGUGUUAAGCUUGCCUGAGGUUUUGCAUAUUCAAAGAAGCUAUAUUUGGGCCUGGAGAGAUGACUCAGAGAUUUAGGAUAGUGACUGCUCUUCCAGAGGACCCGGGUUCAGUUCUUAGCAUUCACACCGGGGCUCGCAAGUGUCUGGAAUUGGGAUUCACUGGGAUCUGAUGCUCUCAUCUGGCCUCUGAGGCCAUGAGGCUAGCAUUGCAGACACACAUGCAAGAAAAAUACCCGUACAUAUAAAAUAAUUGAAAGAAAUGUUUAACAGGAAGAUAUAUCUGAGAGCAUUACACAUCAGUUGAGAAGUUCUUGUUGCUGUGAGAAAGCAUUCCAACCAGAACCAAGCUAGGGGAUGAGAAGGUUUAUUUGGCCAACAGUACAGGGUUAUAGUCCAUCACUGUGGGGCAAGAUACCGGCAGGCUACCGUCACAACACAUCCACACUCAAGACGGCAAGGGACGGAUGCACCCACGAUGCCUGAUGGUUGCCUCCUUCUGCUCAGCUAGCCUUUUCCUUUCUCAUAUAGUUCAGGACCAUCUGCCUAGAUAACAAUGCCACCCAUAAUGGGCUCUGUCCUCCUGUAUGAAUUAAGAAUGAAGAAGGGCCACCAGAGACAUGCCCACAGGGCAACAGGAAUAGGAUCUAGGUGAAUCUCUACUCAGAUGAUCCUAAGUUAUGGUGAGCUGAUACUUAGAAUUAAUGAUCAAAUAUGCCUCUUGUAAGUAUCUACUGACUGAGAAGCAAGUGUAUCUCCUCCCUGUUCUAGAAAGCCCUCUGCCUUAGAGAGUCUGCUUCUGACGACACCCAGGACCAGCGUGAAGCCUUUUCUCUCUCUUCUCAGACACCCUCACAAGGACUGUCCUUUGAGAGAGAUCAUAAAGACUGUAGUCAACAACGGGGAUGGAGUCUAUAUUCUGAGAGGAACAAAGAAAGAAGAGAAAAAAAACCACUCAUCCAUGGCUAUUUGUCUUGCAAGAUGCUCUGAGGCAUGUCACAGGUACCCAACUGGAAGAGACUCCAUCUCUAAUGUCUGUUUCAUGGCAAGAACUGGAGACUCAAGAAAACCCACGUGAUGCGGGGCAGAAAGGGCUUCCAAGAACCCUGUGAUUAUUAGCGGCUGUCUGUGUGGCAAUGAGGUGGAAACACUCCAUUCAGAGGCCCCAGAGAGCGUCUAAGUCCAAGUCCAGGACAUGAUUUGGAGUUAGUCCACGCAUCAGUUUAAAAAUAGAAGAUGGAGAGGGCCAGUUUCAGCCAAGACUGCCUCAGCUACCCUUUCAUUGAGGAAGACGGUGUGGCGAGACACACACGGGCUGGGUGAGGUGCCGCGGAAGCAUUCAUGCUAGCAGACUAGCAAAGAUCUCACAUCCUCGGGCUGGUUCUGGAGAUGCAGAGAGAUCAGGCUGGAAGUCUGGGGCAGCCAUUGGCACCUCUCCUCCUGUUGCAUACUUUGUUCCCUGCAGGGCUCUGCCAGGGCCUGAUCUCAGCCAUUGGCGUUGCUAGGUAAAGGCUGUUUUCCACAGUCACCGACUCGUAAACUAAGAAAACACAUCGUUGGAUGUUCAGA
Molecule: non-coding RNA, 3859 nt
Organism: Myodes glareolus (Bank vole)
Lineage: Eukaryota; Metazoa; Chordata; Mammalia; Rodentia; Cricetidae
Source: RefSeq, a predicted model, not a curated record